GGGAGAUUAGCUCAGUGGUAGAGCAACGUGCUGAUAACGCGGAGGUCGGUGGUUCAAAUCCACCAUUUCCCA
This 72-nucleotide transfer RNA is filed under the name Synechococcus phage S-H9-2. It matches the Rfam family "tRNA". Rfam says of the family: Transfer RNA (tRNA) molecules are approximately 80 nucleotides in length. Their secondary structure includes four short double-helical elements and three loops (D, anti-codon, and T loops). Lineage: Duplodnaviria; Heunggongvirae; Uroviricota; Caudoviricetes; Pantevenvirales; Kyanoviridae. The record is from Rfam by way of RNAcentral.